RNAcentral lists this ribosomal RNA (253 nucleotides) under uncultured bacterium. Its description in RNAcentral is "partial 16S ribosomal RNA". It matches the Rfam family "Bacterial small subunit ribosomal RNA", at positions 524 to 776 of the family's 1533-position model. The record is from RNAcentral.
UACGUAGGGGGCAAGCGUUAUCCGGAUUUACUGGGUGUAAAGGGAGCGUAGACGGCGAGACAAGUCUGAAGUGAAAUGCCAGUGCUCAACACUGGAACUGCUUUGGAAACUGCCUGGCUGGAGUGCGGGAGAGGUAAGUGGAAUUCCUAGUGUAGCGGUGAAAUGCGUAGAUAUUAGGAGGAACACCAGUGGCGAAGGCGGCUUACUGGACCGUAACUGACGUUGAGGCUCGAAGGCGUGGGGAGCAAACAGG